This 909-nucleotide long non-coding RNA is filed under the name Nannospalax galili (Upper Galilee mountains blind mole rat). Its description in RNAcentral is "lncRNA (ENSNGAG00000024607.1)". Lineage: Eukaryota; Metazoa; Chordata; Mammalia; Rodentia; Spalacidae. The record is from RNAcentral.
GAUUUUUUUAAACUUAUAAAAGAAUCAUUUCUACCAAUGAUCAACUAGAGCCUUCAUUCCACAUUGGAUGGGUUGGUUUUCCUGGUUAUUUCUUCCUGUUAAUUCCUGAGGAUUCAUAAAUGCUUAACCAUGUUUUAAAAACAGAUGAUGGGAUUUCCACCUUCUGAAGUUAAGAUGGACAAGAAGAUGGUCCUUUCCAUCUUGCAGAAAAUCUCAUCCUUUCUUAACAUCCCUAAGGCUGUAAUUCCAGUUGCCAUUGAGAAGUAUUUAAGAGGCACAGAUGACCCAGCUAAGAGCAGAGAACUGCUCCUGCAGUUGAUUGCAGAUGUAACAUUUGGUGUCCCAUCUGAUCAUUUCCCGUGUCCACAGAGGUGAGUCGCAGAGGUUAGAUGGGAGAGAGGCACAGACUCUAAACUGCCCACCUCCUAGGAUAGAUUGAUGUAUGAACUUCUUAUGGUCAGGCCUCAGUGUCUGGUUUAGGGGAGGUCCCUGCUCUUAUUCUCAUAUGAGUCACAUGACUUAGUCUCAGCACUUUAGGAGUUGAUCCCUGGAAACACCACAGGAGAUCUGAGUGACACAGGAAGGAGAUGGAGCCUGAUCAGUGAUACACUGCCAGGCACAUACCCACUGUGGACAGCUGGUGCUGGGCAUCUCUUAGGACUAUCAGAUAACAGGUCUCAGGAUUAUUCCAUUUGAGCAGCAAGGGUGGGUAUUUAUUCAUCGAUACUCAAUUGUCAUUGGUUGAAGGUUUUUGCCUUUGAUCUGCUGUUCAACUGAGUUAUAUGUUGAAUUAAUAAAAGAGCUGCCAAUGCUAGAGGUAGAAAUCAGGCUUCUCUGAAUACAAAUGAGCCUCCACAGCAUUUGCUACCAGGGAUCCUUACUUGAAAUAAUGGUGAUCAAUGGGAUAGG